Dioscorea cayenensis subsp. rotundata (Guinea yam) is the source of this 464-nucleotide long non-coding RNA. RefSeq lists it as uncharacterized. The record is from RefSeq and is a predicted model, not a curated record. Lineage: Eukaryota; Viridiplantae; Streptophyta; Magnoliopsida; Dioscoreales; Dioscoreaceae. The transcript has 2 exons.
AAAAAAGAAUUCAUCGUUUCUGUUGUAAUAAUGUAAUCGAGGUGGUUUGUUAUGGGUGAGCAUUCUGGUGAGAUGUAGACCAUUCUGUAAAGGUUGAUUCUCCAUUUUCUGUGCGGUCCCUAAUUUGAUGUUGUAAUCUGCUUCAGAUAAUUUCUGGUAACUUAAGAAAGAGAGAGAAUGGAAGAGGCUCAAGCAAAAUCAUAGCAUAAAAUGGUAUUCCAUGUUUGUCAGCUUUUCUGCUCUGCAAGUGAGAGGUUGUAUGUUAGUGCGCAAGCAUCUCUUCUUGAUGCAUGGGCUUAAAAACACUUUUGAGAUUGUUUUUGAAAGAAUUGCUUCCAAAUAGUCAUAAAGAUGGUUAGCCAGCCUUUGUAUAGAAGUAAUAUUUGCGUAUAUGUUCUUGCGAAAUAUUUUUAUUUAUAAAUUGGUUUUCAAAUUUAUGAAAAUACUUGAUUUUUGUUUGUUUA